GCCAGGGACAUGGCCCUCCCCUCAGAGACCCUGGGACCUCAGCGGGGACCUCCGGUAGCCGCCAGAGUGACUCCUCUGCACCAGUCCCCUCCCCCACGCUUUGGCUGUUCUCUCUUUUACAGAAAAACAUGAGCUUCCGAGGGGCAAGUGACCUGCUUAGGCCCUGACCCCAGUGACGCAGCAGGAGUGACCAGGCCCCUCGCCUGGACCCCACACCAAGCAUUCCCAUUUUGGAGCUGAGUGGAGUGUCGGGGGGCACAUCUCAGCCUACCUGGCCCUCAUCUUCCAGCAGCCAGAGGGAGGUCCACUAAUGGGAAGUGAUGGCCACUGACCACCUGCUGCACCAUGGCAACCAUUGUCCUCUGGGCAGCUGGACUCAGGGGUCACUGGGUCCAUGGCCUCUCUAGCCUCCGGGGUUGGAUCCCUGUCCAGGAAAUGGGCACAGCUGUGGCAUAGGAGGAGCCUGAUCAGGAGGGGACAGAAGGAAGUUUUGCCUGAGAGAAAGGAGGCCAGGGAGGGACUGAGGGGGUGUCCAGGGGGGGCGGGUGGAACCCCUGGGGUCUCCCCAUCUGUUGUGGGUGAUGAGUGAUAUAAGACGGGACGCCCGGAUGGACGUGAUGAUCCUGAGCCAGACUGGCUGCUCCUGGGGAAGGGGUCUAGGCCGAGUCCCAAGGGCCUGGCUUUACUCAGGAGCCAACAGUGGGUGCCCCGAGGCCUCUGGGACAGAUCACUUUAUUCACCACGGAACAAAAAGCAUCACGUCUCUGUCAAAAUGAAGAAAAGUAUGGAGAGGGAGCCGACUGCUCGGAUGCGGAUGCCCCACCCACUCCAGGGUCCUUCCCACCCCCAGCCAGGCUGGUGCCACCAACAGAACCGGGUCCCAGAACCGGCAAGAUCAAAGGGCAGGCCCAGAGUGGGCCUCAGGGGACCCAGAGGGGGCUCCCAGUCUGUGCCAUUCUUCUCUUUACCCCAAACCCUGGCAGUGCCUGCCCUGGCAAGAGGCCACACAAUAGGUAAGGGGGUGCAGCUGGCAGCUUUGAGGUUGAGGCAAACGACCAAAGAUCCUCGCCUCACUCACCCUCAGGCUUGUCCCCUGCCCACGUACCCAGAGGGACCAUGACUUACUUUUCCUGGGGGAGUGGUAGGACAGAGGAGCCGAGUCAGUGGGCUCCUGGGAAUGCUGAUUGACUUUUCGGACUUUGGCAAGCCUUUUCCCUUCCUGGGCCGCAGGGCCUUUGCACGGGCUAUUCUCUCUUCUGGGAAUCCCUUUCUCAGACAACUACGCAGCUCCCUAACCCUGCUCUAAGUCUGCGCAUCUGUCACUGUCUCCAGUGGCCCUCCUUGAGAUGAUACCCCUUCCCCAUAUUUUUCUCCAAAGUAUUUACUACCUCCUUAUAAUAAACUUUAACUUGCUUUAUUA
Molecule: non-coding RNA, 1420 nt
Organism: Ictidomys tridecemlineatus (thirteen-lined ground squirrel)
Lineage: Eukaryota; Metazoa; Chordata; Mammalia; Rodentia; Sciuridae
Source: RefSeq, a predicted model, not a curated record